Myodes glareolus (Bank vole) is the source of this 945-nucleotide non-coding RNA. The record is from RefSeq and is a predicted model, not a curated record. NCBI's taxonomy places the organism in Eukaryota, Metazoa, Chordata, Mammalia, Rodentia, Cricetidae.
GGCUCUCCACCGGUCUAGCCCGGUCCUCACACAGGUCUCUGUCAGCGGCUCCCGGGAGCGGCCCCGGCUGCCGGAUGCUUCCGCCCCGGCUGCGGCGGGCUGGGCUGGACGCUUAGUGCCCGGCUCGUGCCCUACCAGAAGUGCCCGCGGGGGUGGCAGCGGCCUCCACCCCGCGGAGACCGAGCGGCUGGAGGACGAGGCGACGGCCGCCGUAAGGAGGAUGGGGGCUAACCAGUUAGUGGUGCUCAACGUGUACGACAUGUACUGAAUGAAUGAAUACACAUCAUCUAUUGGAAUUGGAGUUUUUCGUUCUGAAAUUGAAGUGUAUGGCAGAGAAUUUGCUUAUGGUGGCCAUCCUUACUCUUUUUCUGGAAUAUUUGAAAUUUCCCCAGGAAAUGCUUCUGAACUAGGAGGAACAUUUAAAUUUAAAGAAGCUGUUGUUUUAGGGAGUACGGACUUUCUAGAAGAUGAUAUAGAAAAGACUGUAGAAGAACUGGGGAAAGCCUACCAUUUGAUGCACAAAAACUGCACUCACUUUUCUUCAGCUUUGUCAGAGAUUCUUUGUGGGAAAGAGAUUCCUCGCUGGAUCAACCGACUGGCCUACUUCAGCUCCUGUGUACUCUUUCUACAGAGUUGCCUCCCAAAGAGUGGCUCACUCCUGCUGCACUGCAGUCUAGUGUCAGCCAAGAGCUCCAGGAUGAACUGGAAGAAGCAGAGGAUGCAGCCGCAUCCGCCGCCAUGGCAAGUGCUGCAGCUGGUGCCAGAACUGGGCGUCACACUCAACUAUGAGCAUCUCCAAAGUCACACCUUCAGAACUGUCUCUGGCAGUUGAAUAUCACUAGAGAAAAGAAAAUAAAGUAAAUGUCCUCUGGAUAUUUUGUAUGCAAAGAUGGCUCUCCCCCAAAUCCCAGUUUUUCAGCUCAGGAUUAUCUUUGUAGUCAAAAA